UACGGAGGGUGCGAGCGUUAAUCGGAAUUACUGGGCGUAAAGCGCACGCAGGCGGUUUGUUAAGCUAGAUGUGAAAGCCCCGGGCUCAACCUGGGAUGGUCAUUUAGAACUGGCGGACUAGAGUCUUGGAGAGGGGAGUGGAAUUCCAGGUGUAGCGGUGAAAUGCGUAGAUAUCUGGAGGAACAUCAGUGGCGAAGGCGACUCCCUGGCCAAAGACUGACGCUCAUGUGCGAAAGUGUGGGUAGCGAACAGG
This 253-nucleotide ribosomal RNA is filed under the name uncultured bacterium. RNAcentral's name for it is "partial 16S ribosomal RNA". It matches the Rfam family "Bacterial small subunit ribosomal RNA", at positions 524 to 776 of the family's 1533-position model. The record is from RNAcentral.